AGCAGCCGCGGUAAUUCCAGCUCCAAUAGCGUAUAUUAAAGUUGUUGCAGUUAAAAAGCUCGUAGUUGAAUUUCGGGGUUAGUAGGUUGGUCAUGCCUCUGGUAUGUACUGGUCUCACUGAUUCCUCCUUCCUGAUGAGCCGUAAUGCCAUUAAUUUGGUGUUGUGGGGAAUUUGGACUGUUACUUUGAAAAAAUUAGAGUGUUUAAAGCAAGCUAACGCUUGAAUACAUUAGCAUGGAAUAAUGAAAUAGGACGUUUGACUCUAUUUUGUUGGUUUCUAGGGUCGACGUAAUGAUUAAUAGGGAUAGUUGGGGGCAUUAGUAUUCAAUUGUCAGAGGUGAAAUUCUUGGAUUUAUUGAAGACUAACUACUGCGAAAGCAUUUGCCAAGGAUGGUUUCAUUAAUCAAGAACGAAAGUUAGGGGAUCGAAGACGAUCAGAUACCGUCGUAGUCUUAACCAUAAACUAUGCCGACUAGGGAUCGGAUGAUGUUAAUUUUUAAUGACUCAUUCGGCGCCUUAA
Molecule: ribosomal RNA, 520 nt
Filed under: uncultured Glomus
Lineage: Eukaryota; Fungi; Glomeromycota; Glomeromycetes; Glomerales; Glomeraceae
Description: SSU rRNA
Rfam family: Eukaryotic small subunit ribosomal RNA
Source: RNAcentral